UACGUAGGGUGCAAGCGUUAAUCGGAAUUACUGGGCGUAAAGCGUGCGCAGGCGGUUGUGCAAGACAGAUGUGAAAUCCCCGGGCUCAACCUGGGAAUUGCAUUUGUGACUGCACGGCUAGAGUGCGUCAGAGGGGGGUAGAAUUCCACGUGUAGCAGUGAAAUGCGUAGAGAUGUGGAGGAAUACCGAUGGCGAAGGCAGCCCCCUGGGACGGUAUUGACGCUGAGACGCGAAAGCGUGGGGAGCAAACAGG
This 253-nucleotide ribosomal RNA is filed under the name uncultured bacterium. RNAcentral's name for it is "partial 16S ribosomal RNA". It matches the Rfam family "Bacterial small subunit ribosomal RNA", at positions 524 to 776 of the family's 1533-position model. The record is from RNAcentral.